GAUGAAGGAACGUAGCGAAAUGCGAUAAGUAGUGUGAAUUGCAGAAUUCAGUGAAUCAUCGAAUCUUUGAACGCACAUUGCGCCCCUUGGUAUUCCAUGGGGCAUGCCUGUUCGAGCGUCAUUUGUACCCUCAAGCUUUGCUUGGUGUUGGGUGUUUGUCCCGCGUUGCGCGUGGACUCGCCUUAAAGCGAUUGGCAGCCGGCAUAUUGGCCUUGGAGCGCAGCACAUUUUGCGCUUCUAGUCAUGAAUGUUGGCGUCCAUUAAGCCUAUACAUUUGCUCUUGACCUCGGAUCAGGUAGGGAUACCCGCUGAACUUAAGCAUAUCAAUAAGCGGAGGA
This 338-nucleotide unclassified non-coding RNA is filed under the name soil metagenome. Its description in RNAcentral is "partial contains 5.8S ribosomal RNA, internal transcribed spacer 2, and large subunit ribosomal RNA". The stretch from base 1 to 121 matches the Rfam family "5.8S ribosomal RNA", at positions 35 to 154 of the family's 154-position model. The record is from RNAcentral.